GGAUUAGAUACCCUGGUAGUCCACGCCGUAAACUAUGGAUGCUAGCUGUUAGAAGUAUCGACCCUUCUAGUAGCGAAGCUAACGCGUUAAGCAUCCCACCUGUGGAGUACGGUCGCAAGACUAAAACAUAAAGGAAUUGACGGGGACCCGCACAAGCGGUGGAGCGUGUUGUUUAAUUCGAUGAUAAGCGAAGAACCUUACCCAGGCUUGACUUCCUUGGAAGCUUUGCGAAAGCAGAGUGUGCCUUCGGGAACCAAGUGACAGGUGCUGCAUGGCCGUCGUCAGCUCGUGCCG
This 294-nucleotide ribosomal RNA is filed under the name uncultured bacterium. Its description in RNAcentral is "partial 16S ribosomal RNA". It matches the Rfam family "Bacterial small subunit ribosomal RNA", at positions 775 to 1067 of the family's 1533-position model. The record is from RNAcentral.